GCUGCUCGUGCACAUGCAAACAAUCUACGUGUCACACGCGUUCCUUGUGAAACGUGAGCCGCACUGCGCGCGUAACCCCACUCUCCGCGUACGUGGAAUGCGAUUCCUGUUUGGGCGAUGAGGAGACGCGAAUUCCACGUCCACGUCGCCGACGACGCGCGCUACGUUCCGCCUCUCUCAGGAACAAUUUCGCGUGAUAGCCAUUUGAAAAUCGCAUCCUUGAUGGAGAUGGAUUACUAUUUGGACGUUUAAGGACGAUUAUCUCCUCUGUAGACGCUGAAUCAUCGUGCCGCAUAAAAUCCGCUGGAUAUAUGUAUUAGGAAAAUGACCUUGUUACCUUUCCCUUUGCGAUUCACAACGAAACAUCGUGUAUAUCGAUCUACCACUAUUUGCAAUUUAAAUAACUGUAGUUUUACUAAUAUAUGGAAUAGAUUGAAUUAAUUCAACAUGAAUGAAAUAUUUUAAACUAUAAUAAGUCGAUCGAACGAUAAGAUAGGUAUCAUUUUGCUUUAUACAGUUUUCAUAAGUAAUAAAAGUCAUAUAAUCAUAUUUUUUUA
Wasmannia auropunctata (little fire ant) is the source of this 557-nucleotide long non-coding RNA. RefSeq lists it as uncharacterized. The transcript is spliced from 2 exons. The record is from RefSeq and is a predicted model, not a curated record. NCBI's taxonomy places the organism in Eukaryota, Metazoa, Arthropoda, Insecta, Hymenoptera, Formicidae.